UCGUCGCAGUCACGUGACUGUGUGGCAUAAAAGACGGCGCGGGUUCGUAUUCUUUCUUUCCUCCUCUCGUCCGUGGGUAGCGGAGGGACAUCGCUGCGACUUCUCCUUCCGUUGCAGGCCACACGUGGUCGUUUGUGCUGACUGGAUCUGGGCGGAUGGUGUGGCUCGUGUUUGGUGGAAAGCCUCGUCAACAACUCAUAGCAACCUCAAAUAAAUGGUAAAAAUGUAGUGUUUCAAAUUAUAUAAAUGUGUAUUUUUGGUGUCAGAUUUCUGACAUGAAGUGCUGUUUUGUUUUUCACCUGAAAAGAUUUCAAUUUGGUGUUAAAUAAAGCUGAUC
Long non-coding RNA from Synchiropus splendidus (mandarinfish), 337 nucleotides. RefSeq lists it as uncharacterized. The record is from RefSeq and is a predicted model, not a curated record. NCBI's taxonomy places the organism in Eukaryota, Metazoa, Chordata, Actinopteri, Syngnathiformes, Callionymidae. The transcript has 3 exons.